RNAcentral lists this long non-coding RNA (221 nucleotides) under Setaria italica (foxtail millet). Its description in RNAcentral is "long non-coding RNA (SITA_LNC005601)". Lineage: Eukaryota; Viridiplantae; Streptophyta; Magnoliopsida; Poales; Poaceae. The record is from RNAcentral.
CAUAAAACAAAUUAACACAAGUGUGCGUAGUAUACUAGGGUAAUUACCAUUUAAUUAAGAAGAAAACCACGGCCAUGAAUCUGAUCAUAACUUGAACUCCAAUUUUUUUUAAGCGAGGACCGAUUAUAUUAAAAAAUGAUGAAGUCAAAAAAAAUACUACAAACACCGACAGGCAGCACAUGCCACACCACACCAUUUCACUUAACUCAACUCAACAACAC